Molecule: ribosomal RNA, 816 nt
Filed under: uncultured marine euryarchaeote
Lineage: Archaea; Methanobacteriati; Methanobacteriota
Description: bacterial SSU rRNA
Rfam family: Archaeal small subunit ribosomal RNA
Source: RNAcentral
UCGGCAUACUGCUCAGUAACACGUGGAUAACCUGCCCUAUCAUCUGGAAUAACCUCGGGAAACUGAGAACAACGCCGGAUAGCCCACAAUGCCUGGAACGGUUUGUGGGUGAAGAUAGGAUGGGUCUGCGGCGUAUCAGGUCGUAGGGGGUGUAAUGGACCUCCUAGCCAUCGACGCGUACGGGUGUUGGGAGACAUAGCCCGGAGAUGGAUUCUGAGACACGAAUCCGGACCCUACGGGGUGCAGCAGGCGCGAAAACUUCACACUGCAGGAAACUGUGAUGAGGGAACUCCAAGUGCUAUCACUAUGUGGUAGCUUUUCUUAACUAUUAAUCGGUUUUGGAAUAAGGGCUGGGAAAGACCGGUGCCAGCCGCCGCGGUAAUACCGGCAGCUCAAGUGGUCGUCGCUUUUAUUGGGCCUAAAACGUCCGUAGCCUGUUUAGUAAAUUCGUGGGUAAAUCAACCAGCUUAACUGGUUGAAUUCUGCAAAGACUGCUAGACUAGGGACCGGGAGAGGUGUGAGGUACUCUAGGGGUAGAGGUAAAAUUCUGUCAUCCUUGGAGGACCACCAGUUGCGAAGGCGUCACACUAGAACGGAUCCGACGGUCAGGGACGAAGCCUAGGGGCACGAACCGGAUUAGAUACCCGGGUAGUCCUAGGUGUAAACGCUGUGAACUUGGUGUCGGGAUUCCGUCAGGGGACCUCGGUGCCGAAAGUGAAGAUGUUAAGUUCACUGCCUGGGGAGUACGGUCGCAAGGCUGAAACUUAAAGGAAUUGGCGGGGGAGCACUGCAACGGGAGGAGCGUGCGGUUUAAUU